UCGCUACUACCGAUUGAAUGACUUAGUGAAUUAUCUGGAUUGUUCCUUUUCGGGGGGUUUCCUUCGACUUGGAGUAAGAAGGAUUGUAAACUUGGUCAUUUAGAGGAAGUAA
This 112-nucleotide ribosomal RNA is filed under the name uncultured eukaryote. RNAcentral describes it as "partial small subunit ribosomal RNA". It matches the Rfam family "Eukaryotic small subunit ribosomal RNA", at positions 1676 to 1785 of the family's 1831-position model. The record is from RNAcentral.